This 153-nucleotide small nuclear RNA is filed under the name Dasypus novemcinctus (nine-banded armadillo). RNAcentral's name for it is "U1 spliceosomal RNA (ENSDNOG00000043691.1)". It matches the Rfam family "U1 spliceosomal RNA". Rfam says of the family: U1 is a small nuclear RNA (snRNA) component of the spliceosome (involved in pre-mRNA splicing). Its 5' end forms complementary base pairs with the 5' splice junction, thus defining the 5' donor site of an intron. There are significant differences in sequence and secondary structure between metazoan and yeast U1 snRNAs, the latter being much longer (568 nucleotides as compared to 164 nucleotides in human). The record is from RNAcentral. Lineage: Eukaryota; Metazoa; Chordata; Mammalia; Cingulata; Dasypodidae.
AUAUUUAUCUGGCAGAGAGAUAUCAUGAUCACCAAGGUGGUUUGCCCAGGGGGAGGCUGAUCCUUUGCACUGAGGACUGCUAACACUGAGAAUUCUCUGCAUGAGGGAAGUUUUAAUUGUGUUGGUGGGGUGUUGUGUUUGUUCUUUCCCCUG